This is a long non-coding RNA of Poecilia latipinna (sailfin molly), 570 nucleotides long. RefSeq lists it as uncharacterized. The transcript has 3 exons. NCBI's taxonomy places the organism in Eukaryota, Metazoa, Chordata, Actinopteri, Cyprinodontiformes, Poeciliidae. The record is from RefSeq and is a predicted model, not a curated record.
UUAUGGAAGUUGAGAGGCUGAUGGUGAAUUCACGUUACAAUCUCCCUGAGCUCCUCCUGCACGCUCCUAAAACUGAUAUCCAGUCACUGUGGAGGAAACUGGAGGAAGGAAUCCAGAGGGACCGUCAGAGAUGCAGGAGGUGACGAGGAAUUGGAACCAGGAAGAGGUGAUCGACCAGGAACCGACUGACACAAGGGUAUACUGUACUACAGCGUGACGAGCGCAAAUGCAACUAGGUCAAGAACGCCAAAUGCUUGGCUGAGUGGGGGACAGUGGCGACGACGAAGUGAGGAGAAGUGAAGAAGGGGAAAAAGAGUGAUCUGGAGGAGAGCAAGAGCAGCACUUCAAAGUGAAGGAACGGAUGAGUGAUGGUGAACACGAUAAUUAGGAAGAACCGUGAACAGAUCUGCCUGUGGGGAGCAAGGAAAGAGUUGCAUGUGCAGUGCUGCACAUUUGCUUUCAAAUUAAAUCUGAUUCCGUGUUUGUAUUUCACUUUACAUAUUUCUCACACCAAGCUACAUGUAUGUGUGUUUUUAUUUAUUUUAAAUAAAUAAUCUUGACGAUCUAAAU